This 1397-nucleotide ribosomal RNA is filed under the name Mycobacterium sp. C48. RNAcentral describes it as "bacterial SSU rRNA". It matches the Rfam family "Bacterial small subunit ribosomal RNA". Lineage: Bacteria; Bacillati; Actinomycetota; Actinomycetes; Mycobacteriales; Mycobacteriaceae. The record is from RNAcentral.
GCUUGCUCUCCGGAUCAGUGGCGAACGGGUGAGUAACACGUGAGCAACCUGCCCCGGACUCUGGGAUAACAGCUGGAAACAGCUGCUAAUACCGGAUACGAGCUGCGAAGGCAUCUUCAGCAGCUGGAAAGAAUUUCGGUCCGGGAUGGGCUCGCGGCCUAUCAGCUUGUUGGUGAGGUAACGGCUCACCAAGGCGUCGACGGGUAGCCGGCCUGAGAGGGUGACCGGCCACACUGGGACUGAGACACGGCCCAGACUCCUACGGGAGGCAGCAGUGGGGAAUAUUGCACAAUGGGCGAAAGCCUGAUGCAGCAACGCCGCGUGAGGGACGACGGCCUUCGGGUUGUAAACCUCUUUUAGCAGGGAAGAAGCGAAAGUGACGGUACCUGCAGAAAAAGCGCCGGCUAACUACGUGCCAGCAGCCGCGGUAAUACGUAGGGCGCAAGCGUUAUCCGGAAUUAUUGGGCGUAAAGAGCUCGUAGGCGGUCUGUCGCGUCUGCUGUGAAAACCCGAGGCUCAACCUCGGGCCUGCAGUGGGUACGGGCAGACUAGAGUGCGGUAGGGGAGAUUGGAACUCCUGGUGUAGCGGUGGAAUGCGCAGAUAUCAGGAAGAACACCGAUGGCGAAGGCAGAUCUCUGGGCCGUAACUGACGCUGAGGAGCGAAAGGGUGGGGAGCAAACAGGCUUAGAUACCCUGGUAGUCCACCCCGUAAACGUUGGGAACUAGUUGUGGGGUCCAUUCCACGGAUUCCGUGACGCAGCUAACGCAUUAAGUUCCCCGCCUGGGGAGUACGGCCGCAAGGCUAAAACUCAAAGGAAUUGACGGGGACCCGCACAAGCGGCGGAGCAUGCGGAUUAAUUCGAUGCAACGCGAAGAACCUUACCAAGGCUUGACAUAUAGAGGAAACGGCUGGAAACAGUCGCCCCGCAAGGUCUCUAUACAGGUGGUGCAUGGUUGUCGUCAGCUCGUGUCGUGAGAUGUUGGGUUAAGUCCCGCAACGAGCGCAACCCUCGUUCUAUGUUGCCAGCACGUAAUGGUGGGAACUCAUGGGAUACUGCCGGGGUCAACUCGGAGGAAGGUGGGGAUGACGUCAAAUCAUCAUGCCCCUUAUGUCUUGGGCUUCACGCAUGCUACAAUGGCCGGUACAAAGGGCUGCAAUACCGUAAGGUGGAGCGAAUCCCAAAAAGCCGGUCCCAGUUCGGAUUGAGGUCUGCAACUCGACCUCAUGAAGUCGGAGUCGCUAGUAAUCGCAGAUCAGCAACGCUGCGGUGAAUACGUUCCCGGGUCUUGUACACACCGCCCGUCAAGUCAUGAAAGUCGGUAACACCUGAAGCCGGUGGCCCAACCCUUGUGGAGGGAGCCGUCGAAGGUGGGAUCGGUAAUUAGGACUAAGUCG